Molecule: ribosomal RNA, 427 nt
Filed under: uncultured Gammaproteobacteria bacterium
Lineage: Bacteria; Pseudomonadati; Pseudomonadota; Gammaproteobacteria
Description: bacterial SSU rRNA
Rfam family: Bacterial small subunit ribosomal RNA
Source: RNAcentral
GAGUUUGAUCAUGGCUCAGAUUGAACGCUGGCGGCAUGCCUAACACAUGCAAGUCGAACGGCAGCACAGAGGAGCUUGCUCCUUGGGUGGCGAGUGGCGGACGGGUGAGUAAGGCAUCGGGAUCUACCCUGACGUGGGGGAUAACCUCGGGAAACCGGGACUAAUACCGCAUACGUCCUACGGGAGAAAGCGGGGGACCUUUUAGGCCUCGCGCGGCAGGACGAACCGAUGUGCGAUUAGCUAGUUGGCGGGGUAAUGGCCCACCAAGGCGACGAUCGCUAGCUGGUCUGAGAGGACGAUCAGCCACACUGGGACUGAGACACGGCCCAGACUCCUACGGGAGGCAGCAGUGGGGAAUAUUGGACAAUGGGGGCAACCCUGAUCCAGCCAUGCCGCGUGAGUGAUGAAGGCCUUCGGUUGUAAGCUC